This 490-nucleotide ribosomal RNA is filed under the name uncultured bacterium. RNAcentral's name for it is "partial 16S ribosomal RNA". It matches the Rfam family "Bacterial small subunit ribosomal RNA", at positions 30 to 507 of the family's 1533-position model. The record is from RNAcentral.
AUUGAACGCUGGCGGCAGGCCUAACACAUGCAAGUCGAACGGUAACAGGAAGCAGCUUGCUGCUUUGCUGACGAGUGGCGGACGGGUGAGUAAUGUCUGGGAAACUGCCUGAUGGAGGGGGAUAACUACUGGAAACGGUAGCUAAUACCGCAUAACGUCGCAAGACCAAAGAGGGGGACCUUAGGGCCUCUUGCCAUCGGAUGUGCCCAGAUGGGAUUAGCUAGUAGGUGGGGUAACGUCUCACCUAGGCGACGAUCCCUAGCUGGUCUGAGAGGAUGACCAGCCACACUGGAAGUGAGACACGGUCCAGACUCCUACGGGAGGCAGCAGUGGGGAAUAUUGCACAAUGGGCGCAAGCCUGAUGCAGCCAUGCCGAGUGUAUGGAGAAGGCCUUCGGGUUGUAAAGUACUUUCAGCGGGGAGGAAGGGAGUAAAGUUAAUACCUUGGCUCAUUGACGUUACCCGCAGAAGAAGCACCGGCUAACUACGUG